AGAUUGAACGCUGGCGGCAGGCCUAACACAUGCAAGUCGAGCAGUAGAGAGGUGCUUGCAUCUCUUGAGAGCGGCGGACGGGUGAGUAAUGCCUAGGAAUCUGCCUAGUGGUGGGGGAUAACGUUCGGAAACGGACGCUAAUACCGCAUACGUCCUACGGGAGAAAGCGGGGGACCUUCGGGCCUCGCGCCAUUGGAUGAGCCUAGGUCGGAUUAGCUAGUUGGUGAGGUAAUGGCUCACCAAGGCGACGAUCCGUAACUGGUCUGAGAGGAUGAUCAGUCACACUGGAACUGAGACACGGUCCAGACUCCUACGGGAGGCAGCAGUGGGGAAAUAGUUGGACAAGUGGGACGAAAGCCUGAUCCAGCCAUGCCGCGUGUGUAGAAGAAGGUCUUCGGAUUGAAAGCAAUUUAAGUGGGAGGUAAGGUUGUAAACCUAAUACGUUAGCUAACGUUUGAACGUUAACCGACAAGAAUAACGCAACCGGCUAAACCGUUCGU
Molecule: ribosomal RNA, 500 nt
Filed under: uncultured soil bacterium
Lineage: Bacteria
Description: bacterial SSU rRNA
Rfam family: Bacterial small subunit ribosomal RNA
Source: RNAcentral